Molecule: long non-coding RNA, 415 nt
Organism: Vigna unguiculata (cowpea)
Lineage: Eukaryota; Viridiplantae; Streptophyta; Magnoliopsida; Fabales; Fabaceae
Source: RefSeq, a predicted model, not a curated record
UACCCCUCUCCACACACUCUCUUCUACCACAGAAAACACUCCACUCCAUGUAUUCCUUCUCUCUAAACCCUCUCACAACCUCCCUCUGAAGCAAGCCAUUCCCUCUUCUAAUCACUUCCACUCUGUUGCAGCUGCUGAAACCCGGAACCAGGAGAGGAACUUCUCCUCAAGCUGAGCCAUCUCCCCUUCCGCCCCUUAGGUUGAGGACUUGAGGUGCCCUUGUGUUAGAGCCUUGCUUGUGGUGUUUUUUUUUAAGAGCCUAGCCCAGUUGAUGAUGCCCCCCUUCAGAGCAGGAACUGACCUUUCUUACUUAAAGCUGUAGUAGUUUUGAACCAGGCUUUUGAGGAGUCUUUUCUAGACAAGUUGUUAGGCCCCCUUCUUAUACUUUUGGAUGACUGUACCAAACACGUAUACA